This is a long non-coding RNA of Tachysurus fulvidraco (yellow catfish), 408 nucleotides long. RefSeq lists it as uncharacterized. The record is from RefSeq and is a predicted model, not a curated record. The transcript has 2 exons. NCBI's taxonomy places the organism in Eukaryota, Metazoa, Chordata, Actinopteri, Siluriformes, Bagridae.
GGGCAGUCUUAACUGAAAUGGUUUGAAAUAUAAUGCAAACUACUGUAUUGCAGGGAAAAAGGAAAGAAACAUGGAGAGAGAUAAACAACAAGCUGGAUGGGGAAGAUGAUUUGUAAUGGAGAGAGUUGUAUGCUUCUCUUGUCUAGCAAAUGUAACACCUGCCUGCAGGAUGCCAUCCUUCCAGAAUGCUCUAGAGUCCAUCCUGCAAGACACCACCUCCAACACGUCUUUCAUAAAUGACACCAUAACAUCUGCUCAUGUACAGACUGAUAUCAAGACACUCAUGACCAAUUCUGCCUGCUCCUACAGAAAUUUUGACCAAUAUUAUAUAAUAUUGUUUGUGUGUACUUUCUGAGCAACUUAUUGAAAUCUAAAAAAAAUAAUAAUGCACACCUCUACCUCAGUAAA